This 93-nucleotide transfer RNA is filed under the name Sphingomonas sp. RNAcentral's name for it is "tRNA-Ser". It matches the Rfam family "tRNA". From Rfam's summary of the family: Transfer RNA (tRNA) molecules are approximately 80 nucleotides in length. Their secondary structure includes four short double-helical elements and three loops (D, anti-codon, and T loops). Lineage: Bacteria; Pseudomonadati; Pseudomonadota; Alphaproteobacteria; Sphingomonadales; Sphingomonadaceae. RNAcentral also lists the same sequence under 6 other names. The record is from RNAcentral.
GGAGACGUGGGUGAGUGGCUGAAACCAGCGGUUUGCUAAACCGCCGUACGGGGUAUUCCCGUACCGAGGGUUCGAAUCCCUCCGUCUCCGCCA